Molecule: ribosomal RNA, 523 nt
Filed under: uncultured bacterium
Lineage: Bacteria
Description: partial 16S ribosomal RNA
Rfam family: Bacterial small subunit ribosomal RNA
Source: RNAcentral
GGUUUGACAUAUGCNNGUAGCAGCCAGAGAUGGUUNNGCCUUUUGGGCCNNNUUACAGGUGGUGCAUGGCUGUNNUCAGCUCGUGUCGUGAGAUGUUGGGNUAAGUCCCGCAACGAGCGCAACNCUUGUCCUAUGUUGCCAGCGGUUCGGCCGGGAACUCAUAGGAGACUGCCGGGGUCANNNCGGAGGAAGGUGNNGAUGACGUCAAGUCAUCAUGCCCCUUAUGUCCAGGGCUUCACGCAUGCUACNAUGGCUGGUACAGAGGGUUGCGAUGCCGUGAGGUGGAGCGAAUCCCUUAAAGCCAGUCUCAGUUCGGAUUNNNGUCUGCAACUCGACCCCAUGAAGUCGGAGUCGCUAGUAAUCGCAGAUCAGCAUUGCUGCGGUGAAUACGUUCCCGGGCCUUGUACACACCGCCCGUCAAGUCAUGAAAGUCGGUAACACCCGAAGCCGGUGGCCUAACCUUUUUGGGGGGAGCUGUCUAAGGUGGGAUCGGUGAUUAGGAUUAAGUCGUAACAAGGUAACC